UAGGAUUCCUGAGAGAGCACUAAGGGAAAUGCGUAUUUAAGACUCAUUCUUAUUCUAAUUAAGAAUUGUUCUUACCACAUCCCAAAGGUCACUGUCACAGCAAUUGCACUGUUUUGUAUAUUGAUGAAUUAUAUAUGGUAAAUACGAAUACUAGAAAUGACAUUUUUAGAUCCUUCAUACCCACGGCAAAAAGCUGGUUGGGACUCAGAGAUUCACUAACUCUUGACUACAUCGCUUACGACCCCUGAUGAAGUCCUGUGUGGACGAAACGCGUUGGGUAUUCGCGCAAUUGUGAAGUUGAACACACUUCUGAACGCAUUGGUAGAAAUAUAACCAUCACAAAUGUCAACAGAUGAUUAGUCUGUAUUUUCCAUUUAUGGUAUAAAGUCAAUUGCAUGUUUUAUUGAAUUUUUUA
Long non-coding RNA from Pseudophryne corroboree (corroboree frog), 415 nucleotides. RefSeq lists it as uncharacterized. The transcript has 4 exons. The record is from RefSeq and is a predicted model, not a curated record. Lineage: Eukaryota; Metazoa; Chordata; Amphibia; Anura; Myobatrachidae.